CUCCGUAGGUGAACCUGCGGAGGGAUCAUUACACAAUAUGAAAGCGGGUUGGGACCUCACCUCGGUGAGGGCUCCAGCUUGUCUGAAUUAUUCACCCAUGUCUUUUGCGCACUUCUUGUUUCCUGGGCGGGUUCGCCCGCCACCAGGACCAAACCAUAAACCUUUUUGUAAUUGCAAUCAGCGUCAGUAAACAAUGUAAUUAUUACAACUUUCAACAACGGAUCUCUUGGUUCUGGCAUCGAUGAAGAACGCAGCGAAAUGCGAUACGUAGUGUGAAUUGCAGAAUUCAGUGAAUCAUCGAAUCUUUGAACGCACAUUGCGCCCUUUGGUAUUCCAAAGGGCAUGCCUGUUCGAGCGUCAUUUGUACCCUCAAGCUUUGCUUGGUGUUGGGCGUCUUUGUCUCUCACGAGACUCGCCUUAAAAUGAUUGGCAGCCGACCUACUGGUUUCGGAGCGCAGCACAAUUCUUGCACUUUGAAUCAGCCUUGGUUGAGCAUCCAUCAAGACCACAUUUUUUUCAACUUUUGACCUCGGAUCAGGUAGGGAUACCCGCUGAACUUAAGCAUAUCAAUAAGCGGAGGAA
Molecule: ribosomal RNA, 582 nt
Filed under: Stemphylium vesicarium
Lineage: Eukaryota; Fungi; Ascomycota; Dothideomycetes; Pleosporales; Pleosporaceae
Description: eukaryotic LSU rRNA
Rfam family: 5.8S ribosomal RNA (bases 207-360)
Source: RNAcentral